GGGGACGAUAGCUUUUCUGGGG
This 22-nucleotide unclassified non-coding RNA is filed under the name Dictyostelium discoideum. Lineage: Eukaryota; Evosea; Eumycetozoa; Dictyosteliales; Dictyosteliaceae. The record is from RNAcentral.